AACGAACGCUGGCGGCAUGCCUAACACAUGCAAGUCGAACGAGACCUUCGGGUCUAGUGGCGCACGGGUGCGUAACGCGUGGGAACCUGCCCUUAGGUUCGGAAUAACUCCCCGAAAGGGGUGCUAAUACCGGAUAAUGUCUUCGGACCAAAGAUUUAUCGCCUUUGGAUGGGCCCGCGUUGGAUUAGCUAGUUGGUAGGGUAAAAGCCUACCAAGGCGACGAUCCAUAGCUGGUCUGAGAGGAUGAUCAGCCACACUGGGACUGAGGCACGGCCCAGACUCCUACGGGAGGCAGCAGUGGGGAAUAUUGGACAAUGGGCGAAAGCCUGAUCCAGCAAUGACGCGUGAGUGAUGAAGGCAUUAGGGUUGUAAAGCUCUUUUACCCGGGAUGAUAAUGACAGUACCGGGAGAAUAAGCGCCGGCUAACUCCGUG
RNAcentral lists this ribosomal RNA (433 nucleotides) under uncultured bacterium. Its description in RNAcentral is "partial 16S ribosomal RNA". It matches the Rfam family "Bacterial small subunit ribosomal RNA", at positions 29 to 507 of the family's 1533-position model. The record is from RNAcentral.